This 384-nucleotide ribosomal RNA is filed under the name uncultured bacterium. Its description in RNAcentral is "bacterial SSU rRNA". It matches the Rfam family "Bacterial small subunit ribosomal RNA", at positions 29 to 414 of the family's 1533-position model. The record is from RNAcentral.
AUUGAACGCUGGCGGCAUGCCUUACACAUGCAAGUCGAACGGCAGCACGGGGGCAACCCUGGUGGCGAGUGGCGAACGGGUGAGUAAUACAUCGGAACGUGCCCGGUAGUGGGGGAUAGCUCGGCGAAAGCCGGAUUAAUACCGCAUACGACCUACGGGUGAAAGCGGGGGACCGCAAGGCCUCGCGCUAUUGGAGCGGCCGAUGUCAGAUUAGGUUGUUGGUGGGGUAAAGGCCCACCAAGCCGACGAUCUGUAGCUGGUCUGAGAGGACGACCAGCCACACUGGGACUGAGACACGGCCCAGACUCCUACGGGAGGCAGCAGUGGGGAAUUUUGGACAAUGGGCGCAAGCCUGAUCCAGCCAUGCCGCGUGCGGGAAGAAGG